Molecule: ribosomal RNA, 760 nt
Filed under: Clostridioides difficile
Lineage: Bacteria; Bacillati; Bacillota; Clostridia; Peptostreptococcales; Peptostreptococcaceae
Description: bacterial LSU rRNA
Rfam family: Bacterial large subunit ribosomal RNA
Source: RNAcentral
UUUAACUGAGCGUUCAGUUACUUGACGUAGACCCGAAACCGGGCGACCUACCCAUGAGCAGGAUGAAGCGAAAGUAAAAUUUCGUGGAGGUCCGAACCCACGAGCGUUGAAAAGCUCGGGGAUGACUUGUGGGUAGCGGUGAAAUUCCAAUCGAGCCCGGAGAUAGCUGGUUCUCCCCGAAAUAGCUUUAGGGCUAGCCUCAAGGUGAGAGAUACGGAGGUAGAGCACUGAAUGUCCUAGGGGGUAUUGCACCUACCGAAGACUAUCAAACUCCGAAUGCCGUCAUCUUAUACUUGGGAGUCAGACUGUGGGUGAUAAGAUUCAUAGUCGAAAGGGCAACAGCCCAGAUCGUCAGCUAAGGUCCCUAAAUGUAAGUUAAGUGGUAAAGGAUGUGGGAUUGCACAGACAACCAGGAUGUUGGCUUAGAAGCAGCCACUCAUUCAAAGAGUGCGUAAUAGCUCACUGGUCGAGUGAUCCUGCGCCGAAGAUUUCCGGGGCUAAAACUUACUACCGAAGCUACGGCAUCAGUAAUGAUGGGUAGGGGAGCUUCCCAUACGGGUUGAAGCAUGACCGUAAGGACAUGUGGACAGUAGGGGAGUGAGAAUGUUGGCAUGAGUAGCGAGAUGUGGGUGAGAAUCCCACAGGCCGUAAACCCAAGGUUUCCAGGGGAAGGUUCGUCCGCCCUGGGUUAGUCGGGACCUAAGCUGAGGCCGAAAGGCGUAGGUGAUGGACAACAGGUUGAUAUUCCUGUACUACCGAU